GUCAGACAUCUUCUGAGUUUCUUUCCUCGGCCGUUUCUCUGGCAAUUCACUUCUGUUCACUCGGAGCUGGUGGAUGUGCUCCAUGUACUCUGCGGUGAUGCCACAG
Long non-coding RNA from Amblyraja radiata (thorny skate), 106 nucleotides. RefSeq lists it as uncharacterized. Lineage: Eukaryota; Metazoa; Chordata; Chondrichthyes; Rajiformes; Rajidae. The transcript is spliced from 4 exons. The record is from RefSeq and is a predicted model, not a curated record.